GACGAACGCUGGCGGCGUGCCUAAUACAUGCAAGUAGAACGCUGAAGAGAGGAGCUUGCUCUUCUUGGAUGAGUUGCGAACGGGUGAGUAACGCGUAGGUAACCUGCCUUGUAGCGGGGGAUAACUAUUGGAAACGAUAGCUAAUACCGCAUAACAAUGGAUGACACAUGUCAUUUAUUUGAAAGGGGCAAUUGUUCCACUACAAGAUGGACCUGCGUUGUAUUAGCUAGUAGGUGAGGUAAUGGCUCACCUAGGCGACGAUACAUAGCCGACCUGAGAGGGUGAUCGGCCACACUGGGACUGAGACACGGCCCAGACUCCUACGGGAGGCAGCAGUAGGGAAUCUUCGGCAAUGGGGGCAACCCUGACCGAGCAACGCCGCGUGAGUGAAGAAGGUUUUCGGAUCGUAAAGCUCUGUUGUAAGUCAAGAACGGGUGUGAGAGGGAAA
RNAcentral lists this ribosomal RNA (448 nucleotides) under uncultured bacterium. RNAcentral describes it as "bacterial SSU rRNA". It matches the Rfam family "Bacterial small subunit ribosomal RNA", at positions 28 to 466 of the family's 1533-position model. The record is from RNAcentral.